Molecule: long non-coding RNA, 641 nt
Filed under: Malus domestica (apple)
Lineage: Eukaryota; Viridiplantae; Streptophyta; Magnoliopsida; Rosales; Rosaceae
Description: long non-coding RNA (MDOM_LNC003390)
Source: RNAcentral
UAUCGUCACGCAUCUGGAUUGGGCGAAAUAGUGUGUCAUGAGGAUGACUGCGUGUGUUUGAAGGUAAAACUUGAGCUUUCGAGUUGCAACAACUAUCGCCAAAGUUAAUUUUGAAUUUUUGGUAGUAUCGAGGAUGGCUUUUGAACUAUGGAAUACAAGUAAUCAGGCCCCCAACUAUUCUCGUAUGAUGAUAGAGCUUAUUGCUGCUUCAGAUACGAUUGCUCGUCCGUUCAGACCUUGAAUCUCCUUAAGAGUAGUAAGGGACUUCAUAAUCAAGAUUGCUCAGAUUUGCCUUGAAUAGGCAUUGCCGAAUUUCGUCCCAAAAUGCAUGCUUCUCUGCCAGAGCAAAAGAAUCUACCAGCGUUAGAUCUUCUUUCAUGAUCAAUUUUCUGAACAACGGGUGGUCUACUAGGAGUCCUUUCUGGAAGGCUGCUCUAGCUAUCGAGUUGUUGCAUUCGACUAUCUUUGCCUUCUCUGCUUUAAACCUCUUCACAUAGUCGUGAAGCGACUCCUUUGGGUUCUUCUUAACGUUGAACAAGUGAUUGGAUUCUUAAUCGAUCGAUAGGAUGAAUAUUCUUUGGUGAAAACCAAAGAAAGUUCGUCAAAACUCUGAAUAGAUUAUGGCGGCAGGGUGUAGAACC